CGAUGAAGCCCAGCUUGCUGGGUGGAUUAGUGGCGAACGGGUGAGUAACACGUGAGUAACCUGCCCUUGACUCUGGGAUAAGCGUUGGAAACGACGUCUAAUACCGGAUACGAGCUUCCACCGCAUGGUGAGUUGCUGGAAAGAAUUUUGGUCAAGGAUGGACUCGCGGCCUAUCAGCUUGUUGGUGAGGUAACGGCUCACCAAGGCGACGACGGGUAGCCGGCCUGAGAGGGUGACCGGCCACACUGGGACUGAGACACGGCCCAGACUCCUACGGGAGGCAGCAGUGGGGAAUAUUGCACAAUGGGCGAAAGCCUGAUGCAGCAACGCCGCGUGAGGGACGACGGCCUUCGGGUUGUAAACCUCUUUUAGCAGGGAAGAAGCGAAAGUGACGGUACCUGCAGAAAAAGCACCGGCUAACUACGUGCC
RNAcentral lists this ribosomal RNA (429 nucleotides) under Plantibacter sp. RNAcentral describes it as "bacterial SSU rRNA". It matches the Rfam family "Bacterial small subunit ribosomal RNA", at positions 67 to 509 of the family's 1533-position model. Lineage: Bacteria; Bacillati; Actinomycetota; Actinomycetes; Micrococcales; Microbacteriaceae. The record is from RNAcentral.